This is a long non-coding RNA of Apis dorsata (giant honeybee), 245 nucleotides long. RefSeq lists it as uncharacterized. Lineage: Eukaryota; Metazoa; Arthropoda; Insecta; Hymenoptera; Apidae. The record is from RefSeq and is a predicted model, not a curated record. The transcript is spliced from 2 exons.
GUGUCAGUAGGAUAACGACGGCCGAUCCGUUUCGUUCGGCCCGACACUUUUGCCUGACUCGACUCUUAGGAAUUGGAACACGACUGCAUAACUAGAGAAAGGGAUUGCGCCAUGGUAUACGAUCGUAGAAUCAUAAAAAUCAUCGAUAACCAAGCGCUUCGAAAACACACGUUAUUCAGCUCGCUCGAGGCGGAGCGAACGUUUGCUCGUUGCACGCUCGUGAAACAGCCGAGUUCCGUGUUUUU